This is a long non-coding RNA of Pan troglodytes (chimpanzee), 5482 nucleotides long. RefSeq lists it as uncharacterized. The record is from RefSeq and is a predicted model, not a curated record. Lineage: Eukaryota; Metazoa; Chordata; Mammalia; Primates; Hominidae. The transcript has 6 exons.
UAGAAUCCUUUAGCUAGACACAAAAGUUCUCCAAGUCCCCACCCCAUUAGCUAGACACGGAGUGCUGAUUGGUGCAUUUACAAACCUUUAGCUAGACACAGAGUGCUGAUUGGUGCAUUUACAAUUCUUUAGAGAGACAGAAAAGUUCUCCAACUCCGCACCUUUCUCAGAAGCCCAGCGAGCUUCACCUCUCGCUGGAACUUGCUGCAGGGACUUUGGGGCACCCAGCCCGGGCAGUCCGGCAGCCCAGAGGGAGCUCCUCCUAGACAACCAAGAGGAAAAGAGAGAAAGCGAGAAAGACGGAGACCCGCCAUCUUGGCCAACGACCGCGCGAAGAAGGAAGGGCGAUUCAUGCACGGGACCCAGCCUCCAAUCAAGCCCAGCAGGCGCCGGCCGGCGGCGCCGAGUGCAGGGCUCGCGGAGCCCGCCGAGCCUGCGCCCACCCAGAACCCGUGCCGGUCCGUGAGCGGUGCGCGCAGCCCCAGCUCCAGCCCGCGUCUCUCUCGUCACACUUUCCCGCCAGUAGAGGGAGCCGGCUUUGGCCUCGGCCAGCCCCAGAGAGGGGCCCUCACAGUGCAGCUGCGGGCUGAAGGGCUCCUUGAGCGUGGCCAGAGCAGACACCGAGGCCGAGGAGGCGCCCGAGGGCUGCUAGCAUGUUGUCACCUCUCAGGAUCACCCGAGGUCAGGAGUUUGAGACCAGCCUGGCCAACCUGCUGAAACCUCGUCUCUACUAAAAAUACAAAAAAAUUUAGCUGGUGGUGGACGCCUGUGAUUCCAGCUACUUGGGAGGCUGAGGCAGGCGCAUCACCUGAACCCGGGAGGCGGAGGUUGCAGUGAGCCGAGAUCGCGCCAUCGCACCCCAGCCUGGGCGACAGAGCGAGACUCCGUCUCUAAAAAAAAAAAAAGAAGAAAGAAAAACAUAAGUAUAGUGGGAAAAUACUUUUACAAAAGUAACAAAAUGUUCACAUGUUGCUUACUAUAUAAAAUUCAGUAGAAUAUUGUUUAUGAUACUGAUACUGUGCAAGGAUACAUUACUCAAACAUAGAAAAGCUGACAAGAUAAUAAGAAGUUAAUAGAUUAAAAUAUAAAUGGAUAUGGGAACCAAGAAGUCUAAAUGGAAAGCUAUGUGCCAAAAUCUCUGAUACCUGGAGGUCUUAUUUGAAAAUAGUCUCUUUAAAGAGAUGAUUAAGUUAAAAUGAGGCUGUUAGGGUGUGUUCUAAUCCAAUAUGACCGGUGUCCUAAGAAGAGAUUGGAACACACAAAGACACCAGGACAGACACCAGUGCACAGAGCGAUGACUGUGUGAGGAGGUAGCAGGUGGGUGACCCUCUGCAAACCAAAGAGAGAGGCCUCAGAGGACCCAACCCUGCCAGCACCUUGAUCUGGGACUUCCAGCCUUCGGAACUGUGCUGGCCCUCUUUCAUUGCAAGUUUCCCACUUCUCAUUUCAAUGGAUGCUAUCAAGGUCUUCUCCAUCUAAGACACACAUGCCACAGGAAGUCUCCUCAGUGUCUCCAGAAGAGAUAAGAACACAAAGAACACGUGCAUCUUCCACUCGAACAAGCUGCAGUGAGGGCCUGAUAGUCAAAAUUACAUGGAGGAAAAUCACAGCUCUUCUCCCCUAGAAAGUCUGCUGAGUCUCACCAGGACAAUCUCACAGGGAGGCUGCCACCAAUUCUCUCUGCAAGGACUGUGAAACUCAGAUGAAGAAACUGAGACUCAGGGAAGAGAUGUAUCCCAUCAAUGCCGGUAAACGGCAGGCCCAACACUGAAUCUCGUUAAAUCCAACUGUUUCCACCUCCUCCAUAUUGUCUUCUAAAAAGAGAAGAACUGGCAGGAGAAAUGCCACACGGUCCCAGUGGCCUAUACACAUAUGAAACUCUGAAGGAAUGGACCUUCCUCUCAGAUGGAUGGAACUAGAAUUUCAAGAGGGUGAGGGAGAGCCCCUGCUGUUGUCUCUCUCUAUCCUCCCACCGCUUGGUUCUGGAUAUGGGAUAUGCAGGAAUUACAUGGCAGAAUGGGCAAAUAAAGUCCAGCUUUCUACCAGAGGAUUAAAAAAAGGAAUCUCAGAGAAUUGGAAUGUAUCACGGAGAUACCAGAGAGGGAAAAGUUCAGGAAAGUAAACUCAUAAAAGUAUUUCUGAACUCCUAGUCUUAUGACCUGUACAAAUACAGGUUGACCUCAACCAGCAUCCUAUAAACUUUGAGAAUUGAACUAUAGGACAGAUUAUUGGCCAGGUCUCAGAAUGGCCACUGGAUGGUGCAAACCUGGGUCUGAUCUGAAUACCACUACAAAGCUUUGAAAAUGGAAUAGACAUUGAAACUACAGAAGGCUGUUUGAAACUUGUGGCGUCAAUCCAAACAUGCUGUUCAUCCAGUAAAACAAAAACUUCAAAAUUCUUCAUAGAUUUGAAUAAGACCCAGCAUCUUAAAACAUAAUCCAAAAUGUCCAUGAUAAAAUAAAAAAUUACUCAGCAAAUGAAGAACCAGUAAAAUCUCAAAUUGCAUGGAAAAGGCAGUUAACAAAUGCCAAUGCUGAGAUGAUAUAGAUGUUGAAAUUAUCUGACAAAGACUUUACAACAGCUAUUAUAGACACGCUCCAAGAAGUAAGAGUAAAUAUUUUUGAAAUGAGUGGAAAGAUAGAAAGUCUCAUAAAAAUUGAAAUUAUAAAGAAUGACAUAAAAAUGUUAGAGCCAAAAAGUAGAAUAACAGAAAUAAAAACUCAUUAGAUGAGCUCAAUAUAAUAGAAAUGUCAAAGGCAAGAGUUAGUAAACUGAAGAUAGAUCAAUAGAAAUUAUCCAACCUGAGCAACUGAGAGAAAAGAAUACUGAAACAAACAAACAAACAAACAAACAAAAAAACAUGAAUAGAGUCUCAGGGACCUGUGUGAUAAUCACAAAAUGUGUAACGUUUAUAUCAGUGGAGUCUCGGAAAGAGAAGAGAAAAUGAAGUGCAUUUUCCAAAAAAUGUUAGAAAAUAAAUGGCUGAAAAGUUUAAGUUUUGUGAAAGACAUAAACUUGCAUAUUCCAGAAGCUAAGGAAACUCCAAACAGAAAAAAAAAACAAAUAAACAACUCCCCCACCCACAAAAAACCCAAGCCCAGAUACAUAAUAAUCAAACUGCUGAAAACUAAAGACAAAGUAUUAAAAACAGCCAAAGAAAAAAAUAGCACAUGACUUAUGGGGAGCAAUGUUUCAGCUGACUGUAGAUCUGUCAUAAGAAACCAUGAAGACAGAACAAAGUGGUAUGACAUUUUAAAAGUCACUAUAAAUUUCUCAUGAAAAACUAUGAAGCCAGAAAGAAGUGGCAUAACAUUUUUUAAGUGCUGAAAGCAAAGGAAUAUUAACCCACAACUCUAUAUUCAGGAAAAUAUGCAUGACAAAUGAAGGAGAAAUAAAGAUAUUCUCAGAAGAAGGAAAACUAAGAGAAUUCUUAACCAGCAGACCUCUUCGAGAAGAACUUCUAAACAUUUCUUCCAAACAGACAGAAGGGCUCUAACCCGAGCUUCAAGCCCCAUUUGUAUGCAGCUGUCCAUGGGUGUCAGUAGUUGUUUGACUUAGCAGAGCCGAGAGCCCCGGGUUGGGAGUGGAGAGAAAAAAGGGAAGAGCUGCAUUCCAGUCAACAUGCUCCUGGAAGGACCUGACCUCUCCUGCUCACUUUUUAAAAAGGCUCCAUAGUCAAGGAAAGGUGAGUGAAAAGGAUAAAUCAGUGUUAACUGAAAGAAUUUCCUUUUUAUUUUUUUUAAACGUACUCAGAAGAAUGCAUUAUCUGUUAGUAAGUAGUGUAAGUAAUUAUCUUUCGCGUGGAACUGGUAUAUUUUAGGCAAUCCCACUGAAAUGGCGUAAACAACAUUUCCUGUGUCAAAAGCAGAGAUCCAAGUCUGUUUUAGAAUGGUCCUAAUCUCCAUCUCUUAUAAUUUCCACCAAUAACUUGUCUUUUUAUAUAUGCUGGCAUCUGCGUGAAAGACAGCAUCCCACAUUGACCAAGUCUCCAUCUGGUGACAGACGGGGGAACAGGAACGUAGACUGUCACUUUAUGCAGAUGGAUUUCUAUUAAUACAAACAAGUGACCCUAAAAGAGAAAUUGGCUAGCUCCAGCAUAACUUUAAGAAGAUUGUUCUGAAUUUCCUGAAAACAGGUUAUUUCUAAAUACAUGGUGUUGCGUUUCAAACACAGAUCAGGCAUUUUGUCCUUCUCAGAGCUGGUUUUUCCUAGUGGGUUUGCUGUUCUGAGCCUGUGUGUUUGGAAGAGCAUGGGCAGGAGAUGCAAGGAAGUGGUUGCCAGGAGGGCAAGAGGUGUCCUGUGGGAAGAGCCCCAAGUCCUCCUUGUCUCUGUUCCAGGAUCCGUGUGUUAUGAAUCCUGGAGAGAGCAGAGCAUGGGGACGAGGAGAACAGAGGGGAAAGGAAGUGGUUUAACCCACGAUGGCUCCUGGUCUCUUGUCUCUUGCAUCACUGUGAGAAUAGGUAGCUUUUAAAUAUCCUCGAGUACUUCCGUCAGGUAAAUGUACUUUCUGAACUUAUGUAAGUGAUCCCUUAGAGGAUCACUAGAAAAGCUUUAGCUGGCUACUUCCUCAUCUUCAGUGACCACCCCUGGCCAGCCAUGACCAGGAGGGCUCCACCUGGGCUAUGGAGAGACUCACCAGAGGGACAAUUCUGAACCAUGAACAACCCAGUAGCCCAUCAGUAGAGAUGGAGCGAUGGUGUAACCAUGAAACAAAAUCCUUUGCCGUGAUUCAAGAAUGCAUUUCGUAACAGUGUUUUUCAAACUGUAGUUAUUUCAGUACCACUUCAGGGUUUUUGCCCUGCCUAUGUCCAGCUCUACUAUCAUGUGCUUAAUAUUUGUAUUUAAAUGGACUUGGUUUUUAAACUAUGGAAUCCCACAUUAUCUUUGUCUUAAGUGAUGAUAUAUCUAUGCCACCAUGAAUUUGAGGUGCUAACUCUAUUUUUUCAAUACACAUUAACAUAAGUAGAUAACUAUCAAAAUUAAACAUGUUUAAGUGUUAGUUAAAAUAGUCCUGAGUAUCCCCAGUGGUACACUUCUCACCUUCUGGAGAAACUGUGCUUUCUCCAGAAACAGUAUUUGAUAUCCCUGGGGGAAAGGCUAUGCUCUCCUCUGAAGAAAAGGCUCGGAAUGCAGUUUGAUCACAAUUUUGUGGAAAUGAUAUCUGUGUGUGUGUGUGUGUAUGAAAAAGUUCUGGAUGUAUGUAUUGUUAAGGACAGUUAGCGCUACGUAAUAUGGUAUAAGAUUGAGUUGCGGUUUGUUGGUUUGUUUUACAAGUAGCACCUUUACUUCAAAGUGACAAUUAACUCAUUUGUCUUUUUAAAUAACAGCUUUUUUGUGAUAUAAUUCACAUAUCAUCACUGCUUGAGGAAAGCAACCUUGUAGCCAAUGCUGAUACUGGCAAUACGUUUUCAGAGUAUAUUUAUAAUAAUCAUCAAACUUGUGUGAUGUUAGUAAAACUGUUGUCUAUUUGUUUAAGGUACAU